This 468-nucleotide ribosomal RNA is filed under the name uncultured bacterium. RNAcentral's name for it is "partial 16S ribosomal RNA". It matches the Rfam family "Bacterial small subunit ribosomal RNA", at positions 28 to 507 of the family's 1533-position model. The record is from RNAcentral.
GACGAACGCUGGCGGCGUGCUUAACACAUGCAAGUCGAACGGAAAGGCCCUGCUUUUGUGGGGUGCUCGAGUGGCGAACGGGUGAGUAACACGUGAGUAACCUGCCCUUGACUUUGGGAUAACUUCAGGAAACUGGGGCUAAUACCGGAUAGGAGCUCCUGCUGCAUGGUGGGGGUUGGAAAGUUUCGGCGGUUGGGGAUGGACUCGCGGCUUAUCAGCUUGUUGGUGGGGUAGUGGCUUACCAAGGCUUUGACGGGUAGCCGGCCUGAGAGGGUGACCGGCGACAUUGGGACUGAGAUACGGCCCAGACUGCUACGGGAGGCAGCAGUGGGGAGUAUUGCACAAUGGGCGGAAGCCUGAGGCAGCAGCGCCGCGUGCGGGAUGACGGCCUUCGGGUUGUAAACCGCUUUCGCCUGUGACGAAGCGUGAGUGACGGUAAUGGGUAAAGAAGCACCGGCUAACUACGUG